AGUGAGGAUGAUGCUGCAAUGAAAGAGGGGGAGAAAAUGUUUGAGGAGUUUUCGAAGCUUCCGGAAAGUGAGCAGAAAGCUGCGGCCACAAAGUUGCUAGAAAAG
Long non-coding RNA from Anoplopoma fimbria (sablefish), 105 nucleotides. RefSeq lists it as uncharacterized. The transcript has 3 exons. The record is from RefSeq and is a predicted model, not a curated record. Lineage: Eukaryota; Metazoa; Chordata; Actinopteri; Perciformes; Anoplopomatidae.